This 1018-nucleotide ribosomal RNA is filed under the name uncultured bacterium. Its description in RNAcentral is "bacterial SSU rRNA". It matches the Rfam family "Bacterial small subunit ribosomal RNA", at positions 8 to 1058 of the family's 1533-position model. The record is from RNAcentral.
AGAGUUUGAUCAUGGCUCAGAAUCAACGCUGGCGGCGCGCCUAACACAUGCAAGUCGAACGAGAAAGUGGAGCAAUCCAUGAGUACAGUGGCGUACGGGUGAGUAACACGUGGGUAAUCUACCUCUUAGUGGGGAAUAACUCUGGGAAACCGGAGCUAAUACCGCAUAAGCUCGAGAGAGGAAAGUCGCAAGACGCUGAGAGAGGAGCCCGCGGCCGAUUAGCUAGUUGGCAGGGUAACAGCCUACCAAGGCAAAGAUCGGUAGCCGGCCUGAGAGGGCACACGGCCACACUGGCACUGAAACACGGGCCAGACUCCUACGGGAGGCAGCAGUGGGGAAUCUUGCACAAUGGGGGAAACCCUGAUGCAGCGACGCCGCGUGAGCGAUGAAGCCCUUCGGGGUGUAAAGCUCUUUCGUCAGGGAAGAUGAUGACGGUACCUGGAGAAGCAGCUGCGGCUAACUACGUGCCAGCAGCCGCGGUAAUACGUAGGCAGCGAGCGUUGUUCGGAGCUACUGGGCGUAAAGGGUGUGUAGGCGGUUGUUUAAGUUUGGUGUGAAAUCUCCCGGCUCAACUGGGAGGGUGCGCCGAAUACUGAGCGACUCGAGUGCGGGAGAGGAAAGUGGAAUUCCUGGUGUAGCGGUGAAAUGCGUAGAUAUCAGGAGGAACACCGGUGGUGUAGACGGCUUUCUGGACCGUAACUGACGCUGAGACACGAAAGCGUGGGUAGCAAACAGGAUUAGAUACCCUGGUAGUCCACGCCCUAAACGAUGCAUAUUUGGUGUGGGCAGUUCAUUCUGUCCGUGCCGGAGCUAACGCGUUAAAUAUGCCGCCUGGGGAGUACAGUCGCAAGGCUGAAACUCAAAGGAAUUGACGGGGGCCCGCACAAGCGGUGGAGCAUGUGGUUCAAUUCGACGCAACGCGAAGAACCUUACCUGGGCUCGAACGGCUGGUCAACGGAGGUGGAAACACUUUUACCCCGCAAGGGGGUCCAGUCGAGUGCCGCAUGGCUGUCGUCAG